ACGCUCGACACCUACGGGAGGAGCAGUGGGGAAUAUUGCACAAUGGGGGAAACCCUGAUGCAGCGACGCCGCGUGAAGGAAGAAGUAUCUCGGUAUGUAAACUUCUAUCAGCAGGGAAGAAAAUGACGGUACCUGACUAAGAAGCCCCGGCUAACUACGUGCCAGCAGCCGCGGUAAUCUGAGCGGGCUGGCAAGGC
RNAcentral lists this ribosomal RNA (197 nucleotides) under uncultured bacterium. RNAcentral describes it as "partial 16S ribosomal RNA". It matches the Rfam family "Bacterial small subunit ribosomal RNA", at positions 328 to 539 of the family's 1533-position model. The record is from RNAcentral.